UGUGAAGACAGAUGGAGUUUGUUGUCUGUACUGAGAAGAAGGAGUCAAUGCUGUGAGGAGAUGCCCAUGAGAAAUCACCAAGAAGGGCCUAAUCUGGAAGUCUUGGCCCAGACAAUGACUGCAGGAGCUGCACGUGGCCUCGGAGCAGCAGGUGAUAACAACUGGACACUCUUCACUGAAUAGCUGAUGCCUGAUCUAAGAGCAAUGUCAUCUGAACCUAUCCUAUAAAGGAAAAAAAAGCAAAAGAAGAUAUAGCACCAUACCACUGAGAAGUCUCCCUUAAAAACUGUCCAAGAGAGAAAUUCUAUCAUUACCCCUCCCUGAAUGAUUUUAAAUGCCCUACCAACAUGAAGACAAUUUUUCAUUUUGUUAGUCUAUGAAAUAAAAAGCUCCAAAACAUCCAGUAUCAGAACAA
Zonotrichia leucophrys gambelii is the source of this 415-nucleotide long non-coding RNA. RefSeq lists it as uncharacterized. The transcript is spliced from 4 exons. NCBI's taxonomy places the organism in Eukaryota, Metazoa, Chordata, Aves, Passeriformes, Passerellidae. The record is from RefSeq and is a predicted model, not a curated record.